CAGGCCUAACACAUGCAAGUCGAGCGCGCCUUCGGGUGAGCGGCGGACGGGUUAGUAACGCGUGGGAACGUGCCCUUCUCUACGGAAUAGCCUCUGGAAACGGAGAGUAAUACCGUAUACGCCCUUUGGGGGAAAGAUUUAUCGGAGAAGGAUCGGCCCGCGUUAGAUUAGGUAGUUGGUGGGGUAACGGCCUACCAAGCCUACGAUCUAUAGCUGGUUUUAGAGGAUGAUCAGCAACACUGGGACUGAGACACGGCCCAGACUCCUACGGGAGGCAGCAGUGGGGAAUCUUAGACAAUGGGGGCAACCCUGAUCUAGCCAUGCCGCGUGAGUGAUGAAGGCCUUAGGGUCGUAAAGCUCUUUCGCCUGUGAUGAUAAUGACAGUAGCAGGUAAAGAAACCCCGGCUAACUCCGUGCCAGCAGCCGCGGUAAUACGGAGGGGGUUAGCGUUGUUCGGAAUUACUGGGCGUAAAGCGCGCGUAGGCGGAUUAGAAAGUUGGGGGUGAAAUCCCGGGGCUCAACCUCGGAACUGCCUCCAAAACUACUAGUCUAGAGUUCGAGAGAGGUGAGUGGAAUUCCGAGUGUAGAGGUGAAAUUCGUAGAUAUUCGGAGGAACACCAGUGGCGAAGGCGGCUCACUGGCUCGAUAC
RNAcentral lists this ribosomal RNA (649 nucleotides) under uncultured bacterium. RNAcentral's name for it is "bacterial SSU rRNA". It matches the Rfam family "Bacterial small subunit ribosomal RNA", at positions 43 to 740 of the family's 1533-position model. The record is from RNAcentral.